AACGCACGAGACCUGCGGACCUGCGGAAGGAUCAUUACCGAGUGAGGGCCCUCUGGGUCCAACCUCCCACCCGUGUUUAUCGUACCUUGUUGCUUCGGCGGGCCCGCCUCACGGCCGCCGGGGGGCACCUGCCCCCGGGCCCGCGCCCGCCGAAGACAUCAUUGAACUCUGUCUGAAGAUUGCAGUCUGAGUAGAUUGGCUAAAUCAGUUAAAACUUUCAACAACGGAUCUCUAGAUCGG
This 240-nucleotide unclassified non-coding RNA is filed under the name soil metagenome. RNAcentral describes it as "partial contains 5.8S ribosomal RNA, internal transcribed spacer 2, and large subunit ribosomal RNA". The record is from RNAcentral.